RNAcentral lists this long non-coding RNA (404 nucleotides) under Vitis vinifera (wine grape). Its description in RNAcentral is "long non-coding RNA (VVIN_LNC000452)". The record is from RNAcentral. Lineage: Eukaryota; Viridiplantae; Streptophyta; Magnoliopsida; Vitales; Vitaceae.
UUUUGUUACCAUGCAUGGAUCAAACUGUUUUGCACUAAAUAUUAUGUUGGAAUAUUUUGUUUUAUUUAUGACACAAAAUAUGGAGAUAUUAUGUUGUGUAAAUUUGAAUACUUGAACAAAAACAUCACUCUGGUUUAUUUGACCCUUGUCAACGGGAUAUAAUAGUUGACCUUUACAUUUCAUGGUGGGAAUGUAAUUGAUUUGGACCCCAACCUCUAGGGGUUUGGUUAGAGGUUACUAGUACUAGUAGUGUUUGGUUCCGUCCACUAGGAACAAUUUGAGGCUAGCCACCCAUUUGAAAAGUCCCACCUAACUGGGCAUUUGAUAUUUGAUAACCAGAGUAAUGAAAAUUGAAUGGAUUUGAUUGAAUCUUAUGUGAAAGUGUUUGAAUUUGAUAUGAAAAU